RNAcentral lists this ribosomal RNA (672 nucleotides) under vouchered mycorrhizae (Fungi). RNAcentral's name for it is "eukaryotic LSU rRNA". The stretch from base 263 to 416 matches the Rfam family "5.8S ribosomal RNA". The record is from RNAcentral. Lineage: Eukaryota; Fungi.
GUCGUAACAASGUUKMCGUAGGUGAACSUGCGGAAGGAUCAUAUCGAGUUUUGAACGGGUUGUAGCUGGCCUCUCACGAGGCAUGUGCACGCCUGGCUCAUCCACUCUUAACCUCUGUGCACUUUAUGUAAGAGAAAAAAAUGGUGGAAGCUUCCAGGAUCUCGCGAGAGGUCUUCGGUUGAACAAGCCGUUUUUCUUUCUUAUGUUUUACUACAAACGCUUCAGUUAUAGAAUGUCAACUGUGUAUAACACAUUUAUAUACAACUUUCAGCAACGGAUCUCUUGGCUCUCGCAUCGAUGAAGAACGCAGCGAAAUGCGAUAAGUAAUGUGAAUUGCAGAAUUCAGUGAAUCAUCGAAUCUUUGAACGCACCUUGCACUCCUUGGUAUUCCGAGGAGUAUGCCUGUUUGAGUCUCAUGGUAUUCUCAACCCCUAAAUUUUUGUAAUCAAGGUUUAGCGGGCUUGGACUUGGAGGUUGUGUCGGCCCUUGUCGGUCGACUCCUCUGAAAUGCAUUAGCGUGAAUCUUACGGAUCGCCUUCAGUGUGAUAAUUAUCUGCGCUGUGGUGUUGAAGUAUUUAUGGUGUUCAUGCUUCGAACCGUCUCCUUGCCGAGACAAUCAUUYGACMAUCUGAGCUCAAAUCAGGUAGGACUACCCGCUGAACUUAAGCAUAU